UCGAGCGAAUGGAUUAAGAGCUUGCUCUUAUGAAGUUAGCGGCGGACGGGUGAGUAACACGUGGGUAACCUGCCCAUAAGACUGGGAUAACUCCGGGAAACCGGGGCUAAUACCGGAUAAUAUUUUGAACUGCAUAGUUCGAAAUUGAAAGGCGGCUUCGGCUGUCACUUAUGGAUGGACCCGCGUCGCAUUAGCUAGUUGGUGAGGUAACGGCUCACCAAGGCAACGAUGCGUAGCCGACCUGAGAGGGUGAUCGGCCACACUGGGACUGAGACACGGCCCAGACUCCUACGGGAGGCAGCAGUAGGGAAUCUUCCGCAAUGGACGAAAGUCUGACGGAGCAACGCCGCGUGAGUGAUGAAGGCUUUCGGGUCGUAAAACUCUGUUGUUAGGGAAGAACAAGUGCUAGUUGAAUAAGCUGGCACCUUGACGGUACCUAACCAGAAAGCCACGGCUAACUACGUGCCAGCAGCCGCGGUAAUACGUAGGUGGCAAGCGUUAUCCGGAAUUAUUGGGCGUAAAGCGCGCGCAGGUGGUUUCUUAAGUCUGAUGUGAAAGCCCACGGCUCAACCGUGGAGGGUCAUUGGAAACUGGGAGACUUGAGUGCAGAAGAGGAAAGUGGAAUUCCAUGUGUAGCGGUGAAAUGCGUAGAGAUAUGGAGGAACACCAGUGGCGAAGGCGACUUUCUGGUCUGUAACUGACACUGAGGCGCGAAAGCG
This 719-nucleotide ribosomal RNA is filed under the name Bacillus sp. NSi07. RNAcentral describes it as "bacterial SSU rRNA". It matches the Rfam family "Bacterial small subunit ribosomal RNA", at positions 62 to 761 of the family's 1533-position model. The record is from RNAcentral. Lineage: Bacteria; Bacillati; Bacillota; Bacilli; Caryophanales; Bacillaceae.